Salvia hispanica is the source of this 117-nucleotide small nuclear RNA. RefSeq annotates it as U5 spliceosomal RNA. Lineage: Eukaryota; Viridiplantae; Streptophyta; Magnoliopsida; Lamiales; Lamiaceae. The record is from RefSeq and is a predicted model, not a curated record.
CUCCGUGUGUUGAGUACAUAGCGAACUAUUCUUUCGCCUUUUACUAAAGAAUACCGUGUGCUCGUCACUAUCAAGCGGCAUACACCAUUUUUUGGAGGGUUGUCUUAUCGACAACCC